GACGAACGCUGGCGGCGUGCUUAACACAUGCAAGUCGAACGGAAAGGCCCUGCUUUUGUGGGGUUCUCGAUUGGCGAACGGGUGAGUAACACGUGAGUAACCUGCCCUUGACUUUGUGAUAACUUCAGGAAACUGGGGCUAAUACCGGAUAGGAGCUCCUGCUGCAUGGUGGGGGUUGGAAAGUUUCGGCGGUUGGGGAUGGACUCGCGGCUUAUCAGCUUGUUGGUGGGGUAGUGGCUUACCAAGGCUUUGACGGGUAGCCGGCCUGAGAGGGUUACCGGCCACAUUGGGCCUGAGAUACGGCCCAGAAGCGUACGGGCGGCAGUAGUGGGGAAUAUUGCACAAUGGGGGGACGCCUGAUGCAGCAACGCUGCGUGCGUGAUGCCGGCUUUCGGGUUGUAAACCGCUUUCGCCUGUGCCGAAGCGUGAGUGACGGUAAUGAGUCAAGAAGCACCGGCUAACUACGUG
RNAcentral lists this ribosomal RNA (468 nucleotides) under uncultured bacterium. RNAcentral describes it as "partial 16S ribosomal RNA". It matches the Rfam family "Bacterial small subunit ribosomal RNA", at positions 28 to 507 of the family's 1533-position model. The record is from RNAcentral.